GGCUCGGUGGUGGAUGGUCCACACCUGCUUCUUGUAGGGGAUCUUCAUUUGUGCCCGCAGGAAGAGCCUGUUCGAUUCAGGCCCGAGCCG
Molecule: non-coding RNA, 90 nt
Organism: Mycena latifolia
Lineage: Eukaryota; Fungi; Basidiomycota; Agaricomycetes; Agaricales; Mycenaceae
Source: the annotation of a GenBank genome assembly